This 253-nucleotide ribosomal RNA is filed under the name uncultured bacterium. RNAcentral describes it as "partial 16S ribosomal RNA". It matches the Rfam family "Bacterial small subunit ribosomal RNA", at positions 524 to 776 of the family's 1533-position model. The record is from RNAcentral.
GACGUAGGAUGCAAGCGUUAUCCGGAAUUAUUGGGCGUAAAGCGUUCGUAGGUGGUUUGUUAAGUAGGAUGUUAAAUCCCUGAGCUCAACUCAGGAUUGGUGUCCUAAACUGGCAGGCUAGAGACAGGUAGGGGCAAGUAGAAUUCUGUAUGUAGGGGUAAUAUCCGUAGAUAUACAGAGGAAUACCAAAAGCGAAGGCAGCUUGCUGGACCUGUUCUGACACUCAAGAACGAAAGCGUGGGGAGCAAACGGG